UACGGAGGGGGCUAGCGUUGUUCGGAAUUACUGGGCGUAAAGCGCGUGUAGGCUGCCCCCGCAAGUCGGAUGUGAAAGCCCUGGGCUCAACCUAGGAAGUGCAUUCGAAAACUGCGGGGGCUGGAGCCUGGAGAGGAAGGCGGAAUUCUCGGUGUAGAGGUGAAAUUCGUAGAUAUCGGGAGGAACACCGGUGGCGAAGGCGGCGAUCUGGGGUCGAUACUGACGGCUGAGGUGCGAAAAGCGUGGGGAGCAAACAGG
RNAcentral lists this ribosomal RNA (258 nucleotides) under uncultured bacterium. RNAcentral describes it as "partial 16S ribosomal RNA". It matches the Rfam family "Bacterial small subunit ribosomal RNA", at positions 524 to 776 of the family's 1533-position model. The record is from RNAcentral.